Molecule: non-coding RNA, 2517 nt
Organism: Meleagris gallopavo (turkey)
Lineage: Eukaryota; Metazoa; Chordata; Aves; Galliformes; Phasianidae
Source: RefSeq, a predicted model, not a curated record
GGCAGACCAAAGAAUUUGCACUGUUGAUAUCAAAUAAUAUCUGAGGCAAUAUUUGAGAUAACAGCAGUCUAGAUGUAGCAUAACUCUCUUCUGUGCCUGCAAGGCCCAAUUCCCUAAUUGCUUGUUAUGUCUAGAUGUGGAGGAGCCUCCCACACUGUCACGUCAAUAUCCCAAAUCAUGGUUUGAUGGUACCUGGUCCAGUAGAAUUGUGAAUUUUGAAUAUGAUCAAUAUUCAAAAUAUGAUCAAGAAUAUGAUCAAAAAAUUGCAGGAAGGGCAAGCAAGUGCUGAGAACAGAAGAGAAGGUUAAGAGCACAAGAUGACCUCUAUCAUAGCUAUGCCUAAGUGUCCCCCAGGCAGCUGAGGUAUCCAUAGAAGCCCGACUGGAUCGUGUCCCAUAUCUCUGGUUCCCUGGCUGGACCCUUCUUUCCUUGGUGAAUGAGCAUGCAUCGUCAGGUCCACAUCAGCCUUAAGUAUUGCUACCAGUAGGUCAGGACCAUAGCCAGGCACUUUUCCCUUGUCAAGUAAUUUUAAGGAAUGGUCCAGCAGCUGUCCCUUCUUUCUUUAUCCUUUCUUCUGUGUUUAGAAAAAGUUAUCUUCCGUGUGCAUUGAAUGUAAAUUGGUUCAGAGGGCUUCCAGGUGGCCUCAGCCAUCAAGAUUUUUCCUAAUCACAGUAAGACUGAAGUGAGACUUUAUGCUUAUGUGAACGUCUGACAGAACAAGGCUCGACUGUUGCUGGUGGAACAAGUCUUUGAAAUUUCAGUUUCCAUUUUCUUCUGACUUUUUGGCCCCUGAAGAGACAAGAUGCCUGUAUCAUACUGUAAGGUGGAAACGCAAGGUUGUCAUCCCUUCAGUUUGCCUGCCUCUGUGAAUGCCUAUUUGAGCCUCUUCCUGCAAAAAGCUAGAGAAGAGUAUGACUUUUUCUGCCCUAUGGGACUAGUUUUCUGCUCAGUCUGUUUUCUGCAUCAGCUCAUUGUGGUGUCACAGAAGCAGGUGGGAGCAGUGGGAGCAGCCUACCCUCACAGGUGGCAGUUCCCAAAUGGACAGCACAGCUUCCAUCACCCUUGGGUUGCUCAUGGGAACACAACAGAAGGCACACCAUCUCCCACUUUCUCCCAGGGUAAAGGAAGGAACUGCAACUCAGCUGACUUCUCGAUGCUGGAGAUAAUCCUGAGUCUAUAAAACUUUGCUGGAUAUAGCACUGUUUGCAGAGUCUCCUUCCAAGAUUGAAGAGUGAGCACAUUCUUGUCCGGUCUUCAGAGCUGCAGUUUGGAAAAAAACACAACUUGCCAGUGUUUCCUGCCAUGCGGUCUUCUGACAGCAUAGAUGUCUGCAAUGAUCCAGGCACAAUCAUUUGAGAAAUAUGGGAUUGUAAAGACAACAACUGAGCUGGGACCAGUGUGGAGAAACCUGUUAUCUGAGAACCUUGGGCACUACCCCAGCUGCUUCAAAAAUGGAAGCUUUCAAUUAACACUUUGCACCGUGACAGCAAAUGGACAUGGCAAGUAUUUUGCUAUUUGCAGAUAAAAGUGAACCUGUCUUCUGUAUCACUAAAAUAAUCAAUUAACUAAAAGGAAUAAAUUCCGCCACUUUUCAGCUGCAACAUGGCAUUUAAGUCAAAGGACUUGAUGACAUCAGAACUCAGAAGCAUCAUUUAAAAACAAACAAACAAAAUAUAACCAAAAAGAGAAGUUCUAGUGCAAACCAGGAGGAUGCAAGCACAAAAACAUCCUGUUUAUACUCAGGGUUUCUGGGACAGCAGAUUGUUUUUCCCUUUGCACUUGAUGCAUUUAAACCAAACCACAGUUUAUCACCACCUGGGGGAAGAAAGAAGAAGCAACUCCUUCAGAAAGAAAUCCUUUAAUUUGAUGUUUCAGAAAAUUUCAGCAGCUACGGUUGGAUUGUUUAAAGGAUGCCUCUCCUAGAAUUUGUGUUGGUGACUCUUCAGUACAGGCUUAGGAAAUGAGAGCGCCAUAUAGAGGCCAGACAAGGUGCUGGGGAAGCUUCAGCAUCUGCCAGUGGGCAGCUCACUGCUGACCACAGGAGGAUGCACUGAAAAAGGCACAGCCCCCUUAGCUUGCAUCAGUGCUGCAUGAAUCCUCAGUAGUUAAUGAAUCAUAGAAUCACUUGAGUUGGAAGGGACCCUUAGUUGUUACCUAGUCCAAUUCCCCUGAAAUAAAGGCUGCUUUACUGUUACAAAUGUUACAAACUCAAUAUGUUUAAAAGCCAGUGUUAGCAGGGUUCUGCAUGGUACAAUUGCAUAUUUUGUAAAAAGUUGGGCCAUAUUAAAUUACAACUGCUGGCACUUCUUUUACUCAAAAAGAAACCUAUUUAUUUGUCAUCUCUGUACCUGUUCUUUCCCUUUGUGCCAGAACACAUUCUAGAUAGAUUUUGUUUGAAGGCUUAGCUGAUACUGGCUGAAGUGCAACAGCUGCCUGGAGCAGCCCAAAUGUUAGAUUGGAGUGCAGGGUAGAGGGCACAAAUCACUAUAAGUGAUCCUUCCUUUUCCUUUUCCUUUU